GAUGAACGCUGGCGGCGUGGAUAAGGCAUGCAAGUCGAACGGCAGCACGGGAGCAAUCCUGGUGGCGAGUGGCGAACGGGUGAGUAGAGCAUCGGAACGUGCCCAGUCGUGGGGGAUAGCCCGGCGAAAGCCGGAUUAAUACCGCAUACGACCUGAGGGUGAAAGCGGGGGACCUUUCGGGGCCUCGCGCGAUUGGAGCGGCCGAUGUCAGAUUAGGUAGUUGGUGGGGUAAAGGCCCACCAAGCCGACGAUCUGUAGCUGGUCUGAGAGGACGACCAGCCACACUGGGACUGAGACACGGCCCAGACUCCUACGGGAGGCAGCAGUGGGGAAUUUUGGACAAUGGGCGCAAGCCUGAUCCAGCCAUGCCGCGUGCGGGAAGAAGGCCUUCGGGUUGUAAACCGCUUUUGUCGGGGAAGAAAUGCUCCGGGAUAAUACCCUGGGGAGAUGACGGUACCCGAAGAAUAAGCACCGGCUAACUACGUGCCAGCCGCCGCAGUAA
RNAcentral lists this ribosomal RNA (502 nucleotides) under uncultured bacterium. RNAcentral's name for it is "partial 16S ribosomal RNA". It matches the Rfam family "Bacterial small subunit ribosomal RNA", at positions 28 to 523 of the family's 1533-position model. The record is from RNAcentral.